Molecule: non-coding RNA, 78 nt
Organism: Schistosoma margrebowiei
Lineage: Eukaryota; Metazoa; Platyhelminthes; Trematoda; Strigeidida; Schistosomatidae
Source: Rfam
AGCUUUCUGAAUCCGCGCAAAGAUUUCUUCAGACACCAACCCAUUAGGGUUGAUAAGACUUCCAGGAUAAGUGAAGUU